UACGAAGGGGGCUAGCGUUGCUCGGAAUCACUGGGCGUAAAGGGUGCGUAGGCGGGUCUUUUAAGUCAGGGGUGAAAUCCUGGAGCUCAACUCCAGAACUGCCCCUUGAUACUGAGGAUCUUGAGUUCGGGAGAGGUGAGUGGAACUGCGAGUGUAGAGGUGAAAUUCGUAGAUAUUCGCAAGAACACCAGUGGCGAAGGCGGCUCACUGGCCCGAUACUGACGCUGAGGCACGAAAGCGUGGGGAGCAAACAGGG
Molecule: ribosomal RNA, 256 nt
Filed under: uncultured bacterium
Lineage: Bacteria
Description: partial 16S ribosomal RNA
Rfam family: Bacterial small subunit ribosomal RNA
Source: RNAcentral